This is a long non-coding RNA of Nymphaea colorata (pocket water lily), 803 nucleotides long. RefSeq lists it as uncharacterized. Lineage: Eukaryota; Viridiplantae; Streptophyta; Magnoliopsida; Nymphaeales; Nymphaeaceae. The record is from RefSeq and is a predicted model, not a curated record. The transcript has 3 exons.
UGCCCCAAAAAAAUGACCCUAUGGUGGUCCAAAUUUGCUUCACAUCUCAAGGUCAUACUUAUCUACCACUGUCUUGUACCAUGACUGCUUCCACUAUUCGGUUACCCCUUCAAUUCACUGUGACAAUGAAGGCAUGAGGGUCCGUCCAUGCGGCAGCCGACGAGAGGUUGCCUACCUUGGUCAGUAAAAAAAACAGGUGUAUAGAUGCGUUAGAAUCGAAUCUGCACAUCUUGUUUCAUUGCAGUCAGGUGAAAAAGUAGAUCAGGUGUUUUGUGAAUCGCUUCUGGCAGAAAAGAUAUCCUCAUCUUAAUAUAGAGUAUAGACCAAGAGAUUGAUGCUCGGUCCGAUUGCAGGGAGGAGGUCGGGGCAAUUUGGCUGAAGGGAGUUUGAGUUGUUUCUGGUUUUGACUAAGGAUGUGCCGAGGGACUUAAUGGAGUGCAAAGUCAUGAAUCAGGACGGGGACUUUUCGGAAGAUUGGCCCAUGGUCUAAGCCAACGUACUGGCAUCCACUCAGAUUGCCUCUGUGAAGGUGAAUGAACAAUGAAGGACAUGUUUGGUGGAUGACUAUCUGGCUGGUGGUAGAAACGAAGCUGAAGGAAAUGAGCUGGAAACUUCAUAAGAAGAUGACGAUGAAUGUUGAACCUCUGCAAAUGAGCAACCAGUCCUCUGUCGAUAGACAUUGCUAGAUCUGCAACUUUCCACAUGGAGUUUACUUCAUAUUGCGCACCCAGUUUAGGGUCUGCAACACUCUGGAUGUCCCCUCUAACCAGUCUUGCCGUUGCCCAUUGAACUAUAUGGAAACG